AUUAAUCAAGAAAGUUUGACAACUCAUUUGGCGUUUUUUCUUGCCAUGGAGUUUCGAAUUUCUAUAUAUUAACACUUAGAAAUUUUGUGCUCGUAGUGCUGUUUUACGUUUUCUUUUAGUUCUUUUGAGCAGUGAAGUCUUUUGCCGUCUCUCCGAUGCAGGGGCUUUCAUUUUUGUCCUAAAAAAAGAUAAUCUUUUGAACAAUUCUUUUUUUUUUUAAAUCUUUAAAAUAUUAAUCUCUGGAACAAUUUGAGGUGUACUUGAUCAUAGCUUUACACUGUGGUUACGGUUUUGUUUUCACUCACUAAGUAGAAUUCUUCUUAGAGCAAAAUCUAUAUGCACUUUUCAUUUGUCAUACAAUUAUGGAAUUUUGAUGAUCAUUAAUUGGGCAUGUGAUUAUCAUUCUUAAAUCAUUUUGGAGAAAGUAACUGGGGAUCAAUGCUAGGGCUCUUCCUGGGUUAUUCGUGAUGUUGAGUUAUAAAAUCAUCUAUUUCAUUAACAAUCUGAAUGUAUCUGGUUUAAUUGUUUUUUAUAGGUUUGGUAGGCUAUGGAGCAUUCAUUACUUUUUUGAUAUUUUUUUUUUGAAUUUCAUUUUAAUUUGAGAAAUUUUCUCCGCAUCAUUAUCAGAAUGUUCAGUGACAUUUGUGGUUGUCAUUGCCAAUCUAAUCUGAUUGACAUUUUACAUAAAUUAAUGAUAUGGCAGAGACACAAUGCACUUUUGGAGAGUCCAACUGGAACUGGAAAAACUUUGUGUCUUCUCUGUGCCACACUAGCUUGGCGGAAGAGUUUGGGAAAUUUCUCAACUGGUAAGGAUGAAAAGAUCUGUCAGAUUUCAAGGAGCAACUCAGACAUGGAAUUAUCAGAGUCUGGAACUGCUAAUCUUCCAACUAUUUUAUAUACAUCGCGUACUCAUAGCCAGCUCAGACAAGUGAUACAAGAGCUGAAAAGAACCAACUACAGGUGAAAAUUAAUUGCCUAUAUGAU
This 984-nucleotide long non-coding RNA is filed under the name Carica papaya (papaya). RNAcentral's name for it is "long non-coding RNA (CPAP_LNC013478)". Lineage: Eukaryota; Viridiplantae; Streptophyta; Magnoliopsida; Brassicales; Caricaceae. The record is from RNAcentral.